GGCGUGACACACUUAUUUUCGAUAGGCUAUAAAUACGUGAGCGAUCAGAAACACAGCUCAGUUUAUAAUUUCAAAUUGUGUUGGUCUGGUUCAGAAAUAAUACUAAAAAUGAAAAUUCUCUUCCUUGCCGUAUUGCUCAUUGUCGUCGUGAAUGUUACAUGUUGCAAACAAGAUCCAUGUGCCACUGUGAGAUGCGCUGGAACAUGUGUAUCAAAUCUUAAAACUUGCACUUUCCGUUGUAUUCCAUUUCCAAAGCCUAAGCCCUGCUUAAGCAAUCCUUGUUUCUUUACACUAUGUCCAGCAGGUACAACAUGUAUCCAAAAUCCAGUAACAUGCAAUGCAGAAUGUGUUGAGAUUCUGACUACACCUUGCACAGAAAAUCCUUGCAUGUGGACCAAGUGUUCUGCAAAUACAAGAUGCGUGGUAAAUCCGGAAACAUGCAACUCCCAAUGCGUCCCAAAUGAUCCUGUACUUUGUACAGGAAACGAAUGUUCAGGAAUAUCAUGUGGAGCAACUGCAACAUGCAUGGUAAACGAGAAUACAUGUCAACCGGAAUGUGUACAAUGCAAUAAUGUUAUGGAUCCGUGUUGGACCUGUGUAGACAAAUCGAAAUGUACGGUCGAAGGUUGUGUAGGAACUUGUCAUGAUGACAUCAUACUUGAAUAAAAAUCAAUAAUUUUCUUAA
Molecule: long non-coding RNA, 685 nt
Organism: Bradysia coprophila
Lineage: Eukaryota; Metazoa; Arthropoda; Insecta; Diptera; Sciaridae
Source: RefSeq, a predicted model, not a curated record